GUGUAUGGCUCAGUCGGUAAAGUAUUUGCCUUGCAAGCACAAGGACCUGGGUUCAAUCCCCAGAGUUCACA
This 71-nucleotide transfer RNA is filed under the name Mus musculus (house mouse). It matches the Rfam family "tRNA". Rfam says of the family: Transfer RNA (tRNA) molecules are approximately 80 nucleotides in length. The record is from Rfam by way of RNAcentral. Lineage: Eukaryota; Metazoa; Chordata; Mammalia; Rodentia; Muridae.